GACACCCUACGGUUCGAAGGUGCCCUGCACGACCAGUCACAGGACUGGCUGCGGGGUUAAACGGGAAGCAGGUGCGAGGCGUCGACUGUUUGAACGACGCUUCCAUUCCUGCGCUGCCCCCGCAACGGUCAGCGGAUUUCGAGACCCUCAUGCCCCUGCGCUUUCUUGCAUGGGCAGCCACUGCGCUUCGGCGUGGGAAGGCGAGGGUGUCGGCGCCGAGGUGCAUUCACUUUGUCUGCAUCUCCAGCGCACUCCGCGAGCCCGGAUACCGGCCUUCGCAACCGCCUUCGG
This 291-nucleotide non-coding RNA is filed under the name Variovorax sp. The record is from RNAcentral. Lineage: Bacteria; Pseudomonadati; Pseudomonadota; Betaproteobacteria; Burkholderiales; Comamonadaceae.